UCUAUUUGAAUCGGUCUUAAUUCCUUUAACCAAUUAGUCUAUUUAUCUGAGUCUGAGCAAUGCUUAAUAAUUUUCCAUAUUCUCUGACUCCAACGAUGAAAAAAUAAAUAAAUAUCCUGAAUCAACAUCCUGAUGGGGGAGGAGGAUCGACGAUGCAAGCGAAGCGCCGGACCCAAUCGGUGGCGGUGCGGUGAAAAGGCGUCGCCUGAAAAGUCCUACUGCGACAAGCAUUUGGCUCAACAGGAUAAGCCUUCCCAAAGAAAGAAAGAGAGUUUGAUGUGUCAUCAAUGUCAGCGGAGUGAUAAGAGCGUUGUUGUCUGCUGUUCCAAUUGUAAUAGGAAGCGAUACUGCUAUGAGUGCCUUGAGAAGUGGUACCCUGGGAAGACGAAAGAGGAAGUUGCGAUUGCGUGUCCUUUCUGUUGUGGCAACUGCAAUUGCAAAGCUUGCUUGAGGGAGGUUUUGGUUGUGAAGCCUCGCCAUAAGGAACUUGAUGUCACUGUGAAAUUGCGGCAGCUGUACUACUUGCUACAUAAAACUCUGCCAGUUCUCAGGCAUAUUCACAAUGAGCAGAGAUCUGAACUAGAGAUUGAAUCCAAUAUACGAGGUGUUCAAUUGAAGGAAAUCGAUAUAACAAGAUAUAAACUGGACAAAAAAGAGCGUUUGUACUGUGACAAUUGCAAUACAUCCAUUGUUGAUUACCACCGAAGCUGCCCAAACCCAAGUUGUUCUUAUGAUCUGUGUCUCACUUGUUGUCGAGAGCUAAGGGAAGGUCACCAGCCCGGAGGUAGUGAAGCAGAAACAUCUCAGCAACAGUUUGUAGAAAAAGCUUAUUCUCAAGUUAUUGAUGGAGAUGGCUAUAUUAGUGUGCCAAGGAAAAGGCAUCGGUGUGAGAGCCAAGAGGCCCCUGCUUCCAAUGAUUCUAAAGCUUAUAUGUCCUGUCACUUUCCUGAUUGGAAAGUUAAUGCUGAUGGUAGCAUUCCAUGCCCUCCAAAAGAACGUGGAGGUUGUGGUACUGCAAAACUGGAGUUGAGACGCAAUUUUAAAGCUAACUGGGUAAUGAAGCUGCUGCAGAAUGCAGAGGAUCUUACUAGCAAUUGUAGGUUUCCAAAUGUUGAUUACUCUCAAGGAUGCAGUACAUGCCAGUCAAAUGUUUCUGGGGGGAACAAUAAUAUAGUUUCCAAUGUUAGACUGGCAGCUUUCAGGGAGAAAAGUAACGAUAACUUCUUAUUCUGCCCGGAUGCUUUUGACAUGGCAAAUGAUGAAACCAAUCAUUUUCAGAUACAUUGGAUGAGGGGUGAACCUGUGAUAGUUAGAAAUGUUCUUGACAAGACAUCUGGACUUAGUUGGGAACCUAUGGUCAUGUGGAGGGCUUUUAGAGAAACAGGUGGCAAUGUUAAGUUCAAAGAUGAGACACGAAGUGUGAAGGCCAUUGAUUGCUUGGAUUGGUGUUAGGUUGAGAUUAAUAUUCACCAAUUUUUCAUGGGCUAUUUAGAGGGCCGUAUGCAUAAAGAUAGCUGGCCAGAGAUGUUGAAAUUGAAGGAUUGGCCCUCAUCAACAUUAUUUGAGGAACGUUUGCCCAGGCAUAAUGCUGAAUUUAUUGCAGCACUCCCCUACAGUGACUAUACUGAUCCAAAAUUAGGUCCAUCGAACCUUGCUACUAGACUUCCUGACGACUCACUGAAACCUGAUUUGGGACCCAAAACAUAUAUUGCAUAUGGAUUUCCUGAAGAGCUUGGUAGAGGGGAUUCAGUCACAAAGCUGCACUGUGAUAUGUCUGAUGCGGUUAACUUACUGACACACACGACUAGGGUGAAGAUUGCUCCCUGGCAACAUAAAAGCAUAAGAAAGAUACUAAACAAACAUGCAACUGAAGACUUGCAUGAACUUUAUGGUAGAAUAGAUGAGGCUGGGGAUCGAGUUAGAGGACAGUCACUUAAACGAACUUAUGAACAUGAGAUCACGGUUGCUGAAUGUAUGAAAGGUGAGAAUAUUGUUGAUAAUGACCGGACAAGUGUUAGUACUGAAUCAGAGUAUACAAAUGUUCAGAUGCUUGAACAUCAAAGGAAUAAGAUGAAAAAAUCCAAUUUCUCUAGAUGUGGUGACAUUUGUGAGACAGACUCAUUUCUAGAAGGUAAUGACACAAGGAUGCAAUGUCUGAAUAAGCAGUGCUCUGAAUUGGAGGAAAGCUCUUUACAAAGAAAUUUAUAUGAUAAGAAAAAGUUGUUUACUGAGACUGUGGAUCAGAAAUCAAGGACAUUGGAUUUUGAUGUGAAGGCAGUUAAAUAUCUUUCAGCAAAGGACCAAGGGGAGGAUCCAGGAUCAAAAAAGUCAAGUCCAGAGCCAUCAAGAGAUUCUCAUGAGAGUAAAAAACGGUUGGAGGUUGCCCAUGGUGGUGCUGUUUGGGACAUCUUCCGCAGGCAGGAUGUUCCUAAGUUAAUUAAAUACUUGGAAAAGCACAAAGAGGAAUUUCGCCACAUCAAAAAUCUUCCUGUAAAAUCAGUUGUUCAUCCUAUUCAUGAUCAGACUCUUUUCUUGAAUGAGAGACAUAAAAAACAACUGAAGGAGGAGUUUAAUAUAGAACCUUGGACAUUUGAGCAAUACCUUGGUGAAGCCGUUUUUAUUCCAGCAGGGUGCCCUCAUCAAGUGAGAAAUAGACAAUCUUGCAUAAAGGUGGCACUUGAUUUUGUAUCUCCUGAAAAUGUUGAAGAAUGUAUUCGGCUAACUGAAGAGUUUCAGUUGCUUCCAAAGAAGCAUAGAGCUAAGGAAGACAAGUUGGAGGUUAAAAAGAUGACACUUUAUGCUGUGAGUUGGGCUCUGAGAGAAGCCAAAGGUCUAUUGCCAAAUCUUGAUAAAUCGAACCAACAACAGGAAGAGUAAAAGCACCAGAUGGUUUUUCUGCCACUAUCUGUACAGAUUGGGAAUCUACUUUCUUAAUGCCGUUGCACUGUGCCCUUUUACAAUGUUGUUCUUAACAAAAGACAGUAAUUCUUGUUAAAACAAACUGUGGCUGAUCCCUAAUCUAUUGUAAUAAAGCCCGCCAUAAUUUUUUCAAAACAAUUUUUUCUUUUUCUUUUUUAAACUCAAGAUGAGAAAUAACACAUUUUUA
Molecule: non-coding RNA, 3106 nt
Organism: Quercus lobata
Lineage: Eukaryota; Viridiplantae; Streptophyta; Magnoliopsida; Fagales; Fagaceae
Source: RefSeq, a predicted model, not a curated record